This is a long non-coding RNA of Carya illinoinensis, 1872 nucleotides long. RefSeq lists it as uncharacterized. The transcript has 2 exons. Lineage: Eukaryota; Viridiplantae; Streptophyta; Magnoliopsida; Fagales; Juglandaceae. The record is from RefSeq and is a predicted model, not a curated record.
AAGCCCUAUAUUUUAUGAGUGCCUCUACAGCCACAGAAUGGCAUCCCAUCCCGACAGUGCAAUUAUUUUUAAUGUAUUUUUUUAAUGCUUUUAAAUAUAUAUUUAAAAAAAAUUAUAAUAGUAUUAAAAAAAUACUUCAUUAAUCGUUAAAAAAAAAAAAAAAACUUUUUUACACUGUCGGUGGGGAUACCAGUUUAUGGCUUUAGCAUUUCUGAUAUUUUAUUUGUCCCUCCUUAAUGCUGACAGGUGACAAGGCCUAUAUUAUUCGAAAUACAUCAACUUUGGAUGAAAUCUGCUAAGAGAAAUACACAUGAGAGCUUUCCAAAUCCCUCAUAUUAAUUAUCAAGGCUUUCACUUUACACUGUUAUAUGUGGAGGGCAAAUUGAGGAAAUGCAGUAUUUUGAGAUGCAAAUUUUGCAAAAGAUUAAGCAGUAAAGCUGCUUGCUUGAGCCUUGAAAAAACCCAUAAAUAGUUUAAUCAUGAUAAAAAAUAGGAAGGGUCAGCUCCUAAUCUCUGAGUGUAAAUCUUUUUGAGUUAAAGCACAAUUGUAACUACUAGGAAUCUCUCUCUGUUUUUGUUUUUUGUUCAUGCUGCAAAGACAACCGAGACAAAUAGAAAACGAAGACAUAUUCAUGCACACAUGUCAAAGAAGACACAAACUUAACACAAUCAUACGUGCACUGGUGAAUAGUACGUGUAUUGUCCGGCUAACCUACCUGUAACCAGUAACCACCAUGAACUGUAAAAAGUGGCAACUUGAGAGCCAGAGAAAUGAACCGUGCCCUCUGUCUUCAGCUGCCCAAGAAACUCUUUAAAGGGUACAAAAUACUGCAGUCCUCAUAAAAGAACUGAAUGAAAAUGAACAUCCUAUUCUUCUUUGAUAAUUAUCUUGGUUUUUCUUACCUUGGCUCCACUUGAAACUUGACUGGCUGCGGUUUCUGCCCUGUAUGAAGAAUGUCUGUUUUGUUCUUUUACUCUCCUUUCAUCUUUUUUCUUGAACUGUUUGCAUGGUUUCUUUGCUGAGGAUAAUUUGCUGUUGGCUGUAUCUUUUGCAUGCUUGAUAUGAUCCAGGCUGCGACUUCCUCCAUUUGGAAGUUCAUCAUGGUGACUCGGACCGGACGAGGCGUCUGAAGCCAUAGAGUCUUCACUCUCAUCAUCAUCUUCGCCACGGGUAUAUUUGUCUUUGCUGUUGUUUUCAUUUUCAUUUUGUGUGGUGGAGCCGAAAUAAAUUGUCCACCCAGAAUCACUGCAGCUGUGUUCGUCCGCACUUCCAAAAUCCAAAUGAGUCUCCAUUACUGUAGCUUUAGGAACGAAAUAUAUAUGUGAGGAAGAAACAUAAUCCAAGAGAGAGACGACCGCGUAUCAGGACAAACCGACAUAGUGACCAAUUUCAACAGCGCGCAUUAAACCCUUAUUAUUAGAUUGACAGUGAACAUGUCCCCCCAAGACAAUCCUGUCACCUUAAAUUAUAUGACUCCAGUCACUAGAAGACAAGCAUUCUCUCAUGAAAAGAGGAGGACCAUCUCAAAUUAUGGGAAUAAAAUUUACUUGGACUGGGGCUGGUUUCAUUUGAUCGUUUGAUGGCUUCGCCAAGGUCUUUAAUUCCCUGUCUGUUGCUUGCGUAAACAAAGCAGCUUUGAAGAUAAAAACUGGAAACGAGUCAGCCCCACUGAAUUGGGAAUGAGUUUGAGUCAUUUUCUUGAACGGGUUGCUAUCGUGCCUCGCCCUCUAUUAUCUCUAGUAUUGACUUGUUCGAUCUUUAAAACUCUACUUGUCAUCGAUAAAAAGCAGCAUUGUACUGUGAAGAAUUGAUGAGAAAACAGUUGGGUUUUGGCAUUUUGUAUCAGAUGAAUGGGAUACUGUUUGUCCAAA